AAUACAUGAUAACAUAUACGAUUACAGGAUUCCCAUAUCCCUAAGAAAAAGAUCUGGCGAGGAUCCUUUUCCUUUAAUUACAACUUCUGAUAUCAAUAGCCGAGAGUUUCUCCUCUCACACCCAAUCGUCGAACACAUGGAGAGCAAAGAUCAGAAGAAACUUCACAUAGCCAUGUUCCCAUGGCUAGCGUACGGCCACCUAAUGUCAUAUUUCGAGGUCUCCAAGUUCUUAGCUCAAAAGGGUCACCGAAUCUCCUUCAUCUCCACCCCCAAAAACAUCACUCGUCUCCGAUCCUCCUCCUUUUCCCCGCUCAUCGAUUUCGUCGAGCUUCCUCUCCCUACCGUCGACGGCUACCGGAAUCCGCUGAGUCCACCUCCGAGCUACCAAUCAACAAAGUCCCUUACCUCAAAAAAGCGAACGACUUGCUCAAGCCUUCAGUCACCCAUUUCAUCGAACACUCGGGCGUCAACUGGAUCGUCCACGACUUCAAUUGCUACUGGGUUCCCCAAGUCGCCACUCAGCUUGGAGUCAACUCAGUCUACUUCAGUGUCACCAACGCCAAUUCCUUGGCUUUCGGCGGUCCUCCGUCCGAGUUACUUGGCAAUAAACGCAGGCGGCCGGAGGACUUUACUGUCGUCCCCGAGUGGGUCGACUAUCCUUCCAACGUUGCUUUUAAGCUGCAUGAGGUGGUGAGCCAUUGGGAUUGCAUGGACGACGAGGUCUCCGAUUUUCACAGACUCGCGGGUUCGAUUCAAGAUUGUAAUUUUGUGACCAUGCGGAGCUGCACCGAGUUCGAAUCUGACGCUGUGAGUCUGCUCAGGAAGAUCUACGGCAAACCAGUUGUUCCACUCGGGCUGCUGCCGCCAGUCUCAGCGCCGCAUCAGCACGGCGUCGCUGACGAUCGAGGGGAUGAGACGUGGGAAGUGCUGAGAGGUUGGCUCGAAAAUAAGAAACCGAACUCGGUGGUUUACAUCGCAUUCGGCACUGAGGUGACUCCGAGUCUAGAGUUGAUGCACGAGUUGGCACAUGGGAUAGAGAAAUCCGGGUUGCCCUUUAUCUGGGUGGUCAACAAUCGCCCGUUAGUGGAGGGUGUGUUGGGGGCUGAUAUCAUUCCACCCGGCUUUCAAACUCGAGUGGAGGAUCGAGGCUUGGUCUGGAGGGGUUGGGCCCCACAACUUAAGAUUCUAGCUCAUGCAUCGGUCGGAGGUUUCCUAACUCAUUGCGGUUGGAGUUCAGUUGUUGAGGCACUACAAUUUGGGCGGGUUUUGAUUUUGUUUUCGGGUGCUUAUUCAGACCAACCGCUGAACGCCAGACUAAUGCAUGAUAAGCGGGUCGGGUUGGAGAUACCGAGGGACGAACGAGACGGAUCGUUUACGAGUGACUCAGUGGCGGAGUUGAUUAGGCGAGUGAUGGUGGAGAAAGAAGGUGAGUCAAUAAGGUCAAAUGCAUGGGCCAUGAAGGAGAUCUUUGGCAACGUAGAGUUGAACAACAGGUGCUUGGACGAAUUCACUCGAACCCUUGAAACCUGGCCCACUUCAACCUAAUCAACUUUGCAGAUUUUAUGUUUUGGGGCCUCUAAAUUGGCAUAAUUAAUUGGUAUCUUGCUUUCUAGUUGUGUUUUUAUUUCUACCGACAAUAAAGUGGCAUCGAAUUGAUAAAAUAAAAACCUAGUAAGAGAGAAAUCGAGGAGGCUGAAUCUAUAUCUAUUUGUAGUUGUGGUUGAUUUGAGGAUUGUAUUUUCUGAAAAGCAUUACAUUUGUGUUUAUGUUAAAAGUAUUUUCAUUCUACUACUUUUUAAUAAUUCUGAGAAUGAACGGUAAAGAUUAGUCAAAAAGUCAUACUCCUUGUUGGCUGGACUUUCAAAAACAACCCUGUUUUCAUUAUUAACAUAUUUGAAAUUUUAUUCUAAAAAAUCGAACAUCGCAAAUUGUAUAAAAAAUCAUACUACUUGGUAGGCUAGAGUUUUGAAGAUAACCAAAUUUCAUUAUUAACAUAUCAAAAUUUUAAUCUAAAAAAUCGAACUCUACAUAUUGUUUUUUAAGUUAUACACCUUGGUAGGCUAGACUUCCGAAGAGAACCCGAUUUCAUUGUUAACAUAUCGAAAUUUCAUUCUAAAAAAUUGAACGUUUAAAAUUGUUUAAAAAGUCAUACUGCUUGGUAGGCUAUACUUCCGAAAAUAAAGAAUUUUGUAGUGUUGAAACUUUUGGCAGGUUUUCUUUAUAAGGCGUUUAUUGUUGUAGUCCUAUUAAAUUAGGAAUGUGAUUGUGUAAAUCUUAUGAUAUCUGAGAUAUUCUUAUGAGAUUUUACCAUAUAUCUUAGACUAUAUAUUAUCUUAUUAGAGUUGUAAUCCUAUUGGGGUAAAUAAUUCUCUGUAUGUCACCGCACCCUCUCUUUCUGUCCUUUAUAUCGUUCAUUAAAUUAAACUUAUAACAUUUAUAUAAUUUUGUUGAUCCUAAAAAUUAUCAAGCCUACGUGGCAGGCAAGCCGAGUAACUAAUGAGCUAAUUACAUCAUUCAGUUGAGGAGGAUUAGAGGCGAAUGAUGUUUUUGGGGGUGGAGAUGGAGAUUAGGCGACCCUUUUGAGCCAAGAACUUGGAGACCUCUAGAUAGGGGUGUGAUAUCCACACACCUUUUUUUACUUCUCCCACACCUUUUUGGUUUUCGGCCGUCAGGUCGGAUGAAUUGAAGAAGAUCAGCGGACAGAAAUUAACAAGGGUGUGUGAGAAGUAAAAAAGGGUGUGUGGAUAGCACACCCCCUCUAGAUAUUGCAUUAGGUGGCCAUAGGCUAUGUUAGGGUGAUAUUUUAUAUAUAUUUGAUAACUCUUUUACCUAUAACUUAGUCAUGAUUUUAUAGUAAAUUGGUGAGUUUGAUGUGUUUUUGUGCGAUUUUUGUAGAGAACAUAAUUCAUGAAUAAAGAAGGGAAUUGGAAGCUUAAAUUAGAGAAACUCAAAGAAUUAUCGAAUGGGAUGUGACUGAUGGGCUGGAGCAAAGAAUGGAACAAUACAUCAUAUAGGAAAUUGGAUCAUUAAAGCAAGCCCAAUAAAAUUAGGCUGUGCAAGCAUGCGGUGAUGUGUUUUCCCAAAAAGAAUUGGGUUUGAGAGUCCAAACGGCAUGUGGAUUAGGCAACCAAAAGGAAAGGCAUAGAAAGAAAAAGGUUUUUAGCAGCCGCAAGGGUGGGGGAUAUAACGAUACUCCAGCCUUCCAGUGGGGGUACUCUUGACAGAAGGUGGCAGUUUUGGGGUUUAUCGCACACGGUUCCAGAAUUGGGGUUUUGGGUUUCUUUAUGUCAUCGAAUUCAUCCAUAUUUGUCAUUAGUUUAAUCAUGAACUAAGUCCUUUUGCUAGGAUUAGGGUGUACUCUUAUUAUGAACAUCUAAUUCUUAUUAUUUCAUAUUGAUCUCGGUUGUUUUCCAUGUUGAGUAAUUGUUAUUGUGCUUUAUCGUUAUCAAAUAACUGGCCAUUAUUUGUGUGAAGAACUAAAUUGGGACUGACAGGUUGAGUUUAGUAGAUUGCUUCUCAUAACAAUUACCAUGAAUUACAUAAUUGAGUAGACAUACUGGUUAUGACUUGUGUAGUAUUGUGAAAUUAUCCAUUUAGCGUAAAGGGAUUCGAUUAUCUACUUAUGUGGCUAGACAUAGCAUGGGUAGAUAGUUAGAACACAGUUAGUACAUUCUGAAAGGAAAUAUUGACGAAUCAAGGGAUAAUUGCUAGCAACAUGGGAAUAAUUUGAGUUUAAUAUGAAUAACGGGAUUAGAUGGGAUUGAGAAUGAGGAACCUGAUGUCCUAGUGCUUCAAUAUAUUAAUUUUUCAUAAUUCAUUCACUUUUACUUCGUGUUUGUUCAAUUGAUAUUUUCAAUUUCGUUUGGGUUUUUGCAUAUUUGAAUUUGUCAUCGUAAUCCAUCUUUUAUUUAAGUUUAGUUUGAAGUCAAUCUCAAUAGUAAAUUUAGGUUAAUCCGAUCCUUAUUUGAACGACACUCUACUUAUCACUAUAUUACUUGGACGAUAUUGUACACUUGCAAUUAUCAACAACAGGCUAGCCAUGGGAACAUGGCUAUUUGAAGUUUCUUCUGAUCUUUGCUCUCCAUGUGUUCGACGAUUGGGUGUGAGAGCAGAGAUUCUCAGGCUUUUGAUAUCAGAAAUUGUAAUUAAAGGGCAGUACUAGUAGUGGCAUGGAAAUUACGAAUUGAUAAGCUACUGGUAAAUCAGCAGUCACAGUUCAUUUGGCAUUGUAAGUUCCUGGCAAUAAUUAUUUUUUGGGUCUUCUUAUUUUGGCAUGUCGAGAAUUGCUUUUAAGAUAUUAACAAUGCGAACUUUGGCAUGUCUACAAAGAAAUUUACGAUAGACAGUUUAGCGAUUUGUAGUCUUGAUUUAAAUUCACGUAAUUUUUAUUUUAAUAAUCUUCCUUCUUGUUCAAUUAGUUUUUUUUUUUUUUUUUUGUCAAACAAUAGAUUUUGUUAGAUUAGCCACCGACAGAGUUUGAACCCACAUCAUCAUGCAAGGGCUCAACACUUUUCCACCACUGUGGUAAAGGGCCACUUGCUUGUUCAAUUAGUUUCAUUCGUGAGAGAAUCGAUUUGGGAUGUUUUAGUCUAAAUUUGUUAUUGAGUACGUUUGUUUGGGCUCUUGCUUUUAGCUCCAUUUUUUCAACAAAAAAAAAUGUAACUUUUGGCCAAGUUAUUAGAUUGCUUUAUGGUGUGAGAGAUUAAUUAACAUCUAAACACCUAAAUUAAUCAAUCACGGUGCAUGUGAUUAAUAUUUGGAGGUUAGUUUAAUGGUAAAAGGAAAUAUGAGACUAGUGUUCAGAUGAGGGAAGAUGAGUUAAUAUGAUUAAGAUUGUCUCGAGUUGGAUUCCAUUUUCUGUUGUAACCAAAAUACCAAGUAAAAUACAGAGCGAAAAUUAUUUUCUAUACCAAGUUGUAAAGAUCAUUACAAGGAAAUUCGAGAAUUCUUCUAUGAUUAUGACGUCCGCAAACGGACUUAUCCAAUAUAUCUCACAAGCCACUAAAUUUUAUUUAGCUUUAAUAUCAAUUAUUGACAUACAUGAUUUGGGUAAACAAUUAUUAACAUAUUUUAGGUUUUCCUAUUUCGAAUUGGAUAAUCUCUUACAUUUUAGGAUUUAAGUGUCAAACUAUGGUGUCAAACGAUAGUGUGUGUAUAUAUGCAUGUAUGUAUCAUCUUAUAUGAUGGUGAGAGAGAGGUUUAAGGUAGAGCUGGCCCUAAGGGUGUGCAAAAGGUGUCACCGCACAAGGCCCCCAAGUUUUCAUUACAUAUAUACAGAUGCAUGUAAAUAGAUUAGAUGCAAAAGAUAAUCUAAUCGGUGGUUCUAGCGCUAGCGGUUUAGCUCUUCCACUUUAUGGCCCAUGUGCUGGGUUUGAAUCCCUUUGAUAUUGCUUUUCUAAUUUUUUAGCUUUUGCAAAUGUGUAAACAAAAAAGGAGAUAACAAAAACGGAUCCAACGUGUAUCGAACUUAGGACCUUUGAAGGUAAGGAAAAAACCCUGCCCAAUCAAACAACUUAUUUUUUUUACAGUAACUUGUAAUAUUUUACUUUUAUAGAUGAAAACAUUGAAGAAAAAAUAAUAAAGAAAUAUAACAUAAAAAAAAAUAAAGGGCCUCCAUCCAAGUUUGCAUAGGGCCCCUAAAUACUUAGAGUCGGCCCUAGAUGGUAGGUGACAGAUAGAGAGUGAGCACACAGAGCUUCCAACAUGAAUUCAUGCAAGAAAAGAACCACGUGUGCUAACUCUCUUAAGUCACCUUCUUUACAAACCUCUGUAAUUAUGUAUCCAAUCUAUAUGUAUCAAAUCAUAGAUGUAGCCACACAUACAUACUGAACUAAAUGAAACAAGUACCUUCUUCGUCCUCUUCUCUUUGUAGCUAGGGUUAAUUAAGGAAGUUGAUUUGUGAAAAACAUAGGGUUAGGAGGGUUAAUUUAUAUAGGAUCAGAAGCAUCGAUCCGUCUUUGACUCCUGGUAAAGAUAUGUUAAGAGCGCGUUUACUAAUCCGUAAUCAGAUUAAGAGGAAUUGGAUUGAGAAGGAAUUGGAAUGAGGUGGAAUCAGAAUUAGAUUUCUGUUGAAGUUGUUUACCAAAACUAUUUGGAAUCGAAGUAGGAAUGACAUUGAUGUAUACAAACUGUUUACUAAUUCACAUGAAUCGGAAUAAUAACUAAUGUGAUUACUAAAGUACCCCUAUUUUAACUAAUUUAUUUUAUAUGCUAAUUAUUUUUAGUAAAACUUUUAUUCUUUUAUUUUUUUUAAAUUUUUUACUAGAGAGAAUAAUUUUUUUCCUUUUAUAUAACUUUUAAAUUUUCCUAAUUGCAUAGAUUACUUCAAAUUUGAUAUGAAAGAAUCAAUUUUUAUUUGCUUCUAACCCUUAAUCACCCUAAAUCCUAUUAGAAAUACCUACAUAAAGUAAACUAAAAUAACAUUUUACUUCCUUCUCUCUUCCCCCUUUCUUUCCGCAUUCUUUUUCUGCAACCCUUUCCCCUUUCUUUCCCCAAUACGCAAUAUAACAUUUUACUUCCUUCUCUCUCUUCCCCCUUUCUUUCCCCAUUCUUUUUCUGCAACCCUUUCUUUCCCCUUUCUUUCACCAGUACGCAGUAUCCACACCCCACCAUCCAAUCUCAGGAGGAACUAUGAAGCCACGACCCACCCCAUCAACAAAAAAAAUCCAAUUUUCAGGGUGAAAGUGAUAAAAGUUCUUUCUUUCUCUUCUGUUUGAGUCUGCAAAUCGCAAUUUCCUUGAGGAUUUGGGCGUUCGUUGUUCCAGAUCAUGUUCGUCGUUGUGCCGUCGUUUCAAACCCCGGUCGAUCGUUGUUCCAAAUCGCAGGCGUUCGUCAUUCAGUGCUACUGUGUUUCAGAUUGCAAAGGUGGGGUGGUAUGUGCUGUGAGAGAAACAAAUACAGAGGAGAGUGAUUGAUGAAGGUAGAAGUUGUUUUAGGAAUAUACAUGGGUAUUUUGGUUAGAAAAUUUUGAUUCGUGAUGGAGCUCUCUACCCAGAAUUCAAUUACCACCUCUAUAGAGGGAAUCCAAAUCCGGAGAAAUCCGGAAUUGAACUCCUGAAAUUGGCUGGACCCCACAUAAAAUCUGAUUCCCCAGUUGCUAGUAAAUUGCAGAAUGCUUGGGGAGGAAUUCAAUUUCGUUUCUCCCCAUUCCACUCCCGAUUGGUAAACACGCCAUAAAUUCUUCCCCUUGAAUGCUGUUGGAAACCGGCAACCAAUCACUUGCGUUGAACUGAAAUGCAAGAGAUUCUAGGCCAACCAGUCGAACCUUCAGUUCUUGCUUACGUCUACCACUCACGUGUUUAAUAGUUCAUGCAUAACCAAGUUAUAUAAUUGCAAUGUUAACUAAAUAAGAGUUGCUUUUAAAGUGUUUCUCAAGAAGAAAGAUUAUCAAAAGAAAAAUUGCCUAAAUUUAAAUUAAGAAUACAAAUCGCUAAAUUGUUAAUUACAAAUUUUUUUUCUUUAUAGAUAUAACGAAAUUUGUAUUAUUAAUAAGGAAAAUUAAUGAAAAAAAUUUAAAAACUUUAAAUUUUAAUUAAAAUGAUAAAAAUGUGUUGUAAGUGAAUAAUACCAUUAGUGAUUUUUUAGAAUAAAAAUAAACAAUACUUCUACAAAACUCCCUUAUUAAUAUCAUAAAAGCAAUUCUCUAGGACCAACACAAACAGACCCAAAGAAUAAUUAUUGCGAGCAUCUUGCAAUGUCAAGUACCUCGUGAAGGAUCCAAAAAAAAUAAAUAUCGCCAGCAACUUGCAAUAUUAAAUGUUAUUAAUUGAACUGUGACUGCUGAUUUAUUGCCCACAAUGUCAAGUACACCGUGAGGAGAGUUUUUUUAAUGUGACCGUCACAUGAGAUGGUAUACCACGUGUUUCUAUAUAAAUAGUGAAUUAUGUGAAUUAAAAGAUUAAUAACUUAAAAAUUAAAUUUUUCCACUACUUACAUAAAAAUAUGUGAUGUAUUAUCCGUGUUCAUGUCAUAACUAAAAAUUUCUCCACCGUGAGGGACCCAAAGAAUAAAUAUCGCCAGCAGCUUGCAAUGUUCAAUGAACCCUGACCGCUGAUUUACCAGUACCUUAUCCAUUCGUAAUCGUCAUGCCCAUGGCCCAAUAGUACUCUUUAAUUACAACUUCCGAUAUCAAAAGCCGAGAGUGUCUCCUCUCACACCCCAAUCGUCGAACACAUGGAGAGCAAAGAUCAGAAUAAACUUCACAUAGCCAUGUUCCCAUGGCUAGCCUACGGCCACCUAAUGUCAUUUCUCGAGGUCUCCAAGUUCUUAGCUCAAAGGGUCAUCGAAUCUCCUUCAUCUCCACCCCCAAAAACAUCAAUCGUCUCCGAUCCUCCUCCUUUUCCCCGCUCAUCGAUUUCGUCGAGCUUCCUCUCCCUGCCGUCGACGGCUUACCGGAAUCCGCCGAGUCCAC
This 8410-nucleotide long non-coding RNA is filed under the name Malus domestica (apple). RNAcentral's name for it is "long non-coding RNA (MDOM_LNC001401)". The record is from RNAcentral. Lineage: Eukaryota; Viridiplantae; Streptophyta; Magnoliopsida; Rosales; Rosaceae.